Molecule: ribosomal RNA, 477 nt
Filed under: uncultured Solibacillus sp.
Lineage: Bacteria; Bacillati; Bacillota; Bacilli; Caryophanales; Caryophanaceae
Description: bacterial SSU rRNA
Rfam family: Bacterial small subunit ribosomal RNA
Source: RNAcentral
GUUAGUGGCGCACGGGUGCGUAACGCGUGGGAAUCUGCCCCUUGCUUCGGAAUAACAGUUAGAAAUGACUGCUAAUACCGGAUGAUGACUUCGGUCCAAAGAUUUAUCGGCAAGGGAUGAGCCCGCGUAGGAUUAGGUAGUUGGUGGGGUAAAGGCCUACCAAGCCGACGAUCCUUAGCUGGUCUGAGAGGAUGAUCAGCCACACUGGGACUGAGACACGGCCCAGACUCCUACGGGAGGCAGCAGCGGGGAAUCUUCCACAAUGGACGAAAGUCUGAUGGAGCAACGCCGCGUGAGUGAAGAAGGAUUUCGGUUCGUAAAACUCUGUUGCAAGGGAAGAACAAGUAGCGUAGUAACUGGCGCUACCUUGACGGUACCUUGUUAGAAAGCCACGGCUAACUACGUGCCAGCAGCCGCGGUAAUACGUAGGUGGCAAGCGUUGUCCGGAAUUAUUGGGCGUAAAGCGCGCGCAGGUGG